This 2925-nucleotide ribosomal RNA is filed under the name Escherichia coli. Its description in RNAcentral is "bacterial LSU rRNA". It matches the Rfam family "Bacterial large subunit ribosomal RNA". Lineage: Bacteria; Pseudomonadati; Pseudomonadota; Gammaproteobacteria; Enterobacterales; Enterobacteriaceae. The record is from RNAcentral.
GGGUUGUGAGGUUAAGCGACUAAGCGUACACGGUGGAUGCCCUGGCAGUCAGAGGCGAUGAAGGACGUGCUAAUCUGCGAUAAGCGUCGGUAAGGUGAUAUGAACCGUUAUAACCGGCGAUUUCCGAAUGGGGAAACCCAGUGUGAUUCGUCACACUAUCAUUAACUGAAUCCAUAGGUUAAUGAGGCGAACCGGGGGAACUGAAACAUCUAAGUACCCCGAGGAAAAGAAAUCAACCGAGAUUCCCCCAGUAGCGGCGAGCGAACGGGGAGCAGCCCAGAGCCUGAAUCAGUGUGUGUGUUAGUGGAAGCGUCUGGAAAGGCGCGCGAUACAGGGUGACAGCCCCGUACACAAAAAUGCACAUGCUGUGAGCUCGAUGAGUAGGGCGGGACACGUGGUAUCCUGUCUGAAUAUGGGGGGACCAUCCUCCAAGGCUAAAUACUCCUGACUGACCGAUAGUGAACCAGUACCGUGAGGGAAAGGCGAAAAGAACCCCGGCGAGGGGAGUGAAAAAGAACCUGAAACCGUGUACGUACAAGCAGUGGGAGCACGCUUAGGCGUGUGACUGCGUACCUUUUGUAUAAUGGGUCAGCGACUUAUAUUCUGUAGCAAGGUUAACCGAAUAGGGGAGCCGAAGGGAAACCGAGUCUUAACUGGGCGUUAAGUUGCAGGGUAUAGACCCGAAACCCGGUGAUCUAGCCAUGGGCAGGUUGAAGGUUGGGUAACACUAACUGGAGGACCGAACCGACUAAUGUUGAAAAAUUAGCGGAUGACUUGUGGCUGGGGGUGAAAGGCCAAUCAAACCGGGAGAUAGCUGGUUCUCCCCGAAAGCUAUUUAGGUAGCGCCUCGUGAAUUCAUCUCCGGGGGUAGAGCACUGUUUCGGCAAGGGGGUCAUCCCGACUUACCAACCCGAUGCAAACUGCGAAUACCGGAGAAUGUUAUCACGGGAGACACACGGCGGGUGCUAACGUCCGUCGUGAAGAGGGAAACAACCCAGACCGCCAGCUAAGGUCCCAAAGUCAUGGUUAAGUGGGAAACGAUGUGGGAAGGCCCAGACAGCCAGGAUGUUGGCUUAGAAGCAGCCAUCAUUUAAAGAAAGCGUAAUAGCUCACUGGUCGAGUCGGCCUGCGCGGAAGAUGUAACGGGGCUAAACCAUGCACCGAAGCUGCGGCAGCGACGCUGAUGCGUUGUUGGGUAGGGGAGCGUUCUGUAAGCCUGCGAAGGUGUGCUGUGAGGCAUGCUGGAGGUAUCAGAAGUGCGAAUGCUGACAUAAGUAACGAUAAAGCGGGUGAAAAGCCCGCUCGCCGGAAGACCAAGGGUUCCUGUCCAACGUUAAUCGGGGCAGGGUGAGUCGACCCCUAAGGCGAGGCCGAAAGGCGUAGUCGAUGGGAAACAGGUUAAUAUUCCUGUACUUGGUGUUACUGCGAAGGGGGGACGGAGAAGGCUAUGUUGGCCGGGCGACGGUUGUCCCGGUUUAAGCGUGUAGGCUGGUUUUCCAGGCAAAUCCGGAAAAUCAAGGCUGAGGCGUGAUGACGAGGCACUACGGUGCUGAAGCAACAAAUGCCCUGCUUCCAGGAAAAGCCUCUAAGCAUCAGGUAACAUCAAAUCGUACCCCAAACCGACACAGGUGGUCAGGUAGAGAAUACCAAGGCGCUUGAGAGAACUCGGGUGAAGGAACUAGGCAAAAUGGUGCCGUAACUUCGGGAGAAGGCACGCUGAUAUGUAGGUGAAGUCCCUCGCGGAUGGAGCUGAAAUCAGUCGAAGAUACCAGCUGGCUGCAACUGUUUAUUAAAAACACAGCACUGUGCAAACACGAAAGUGGACGUAUACGGUGUGACGCCUGCCCGGUGCCGGAAGGUUAAUUGAUGGGGUUAGCGCAAGCGAAGCUCUUGAUCGAAGCCCCGGUAAACGGCGGCCGUAACUAUAACGGUCCUAAGGUAGCGAAAUUCCUUGUCGGGUAAGUUCCGACCUGCACGAAUGGCGUAAUGAUGGCCAGGCUGUCUCCACCCGAGACUCAGUGAAAUUGAACUCGCUGUGAAGAUGCAGUGUACCCGCGGCAAGACGGAAAGACCCCGUGAACCUUUACUAUAGCUUGACACUGAACAUUGAGCCUUGAUGUGUAGGAUAGGUGGGAGGCUUUGAAGUGUGGACGCCAGUCUGCAUGGAGCCGACCUUGAAAUACCACCCUUUAAUGUUUGAUGUUCUAACGUUGACCCGUAAUCCGGGUUGCGGACAGUGUCUGGUGGGUAGUUUGACUGGGGCGGUCUCCUCCUAAAGAGUAACGGAGGAGCACGAAGGUUGGCUAAUCCUGGUCGGACAUCAGGAGGUUAGUGCAAUGGCAUAAGCCAGCUUGACUGCGAGCGUGACGGCGCGAGCAGGUGCGAAAGCAGGUCAUAGUGAUCCGGUGGUUCUGAAUGGAAGGGCCAUCGCUCAACGGAUAAAAGGUACUCCGGGGAUAACAGGCUGAUACCGCCCAAGAGUUCAUAUCGACGGCGGUGUUUGGCACCUCGAUGUCGGCUCAUCACAUCCUGGGGCUGAAGUAGGUCCCAAGGGUAUGGCUGUUCGCCAUUUAAAGUGGUACGCGAGCUGGGUUUAGAACGUCGUGAGACAGUUCGGUCCCUAUCUGCCGUGGGCGCUGGAGAAUUGAGGGGGGCUGCUCCUAGUACGAGAGGACCGGAGUGGACGCAUCACUGGUGUUCGGGUUGUCAUGCCAAUGGCACUGCCCGGUAGCUAAAUGCGGAAGAGAUAAGUGCUGAAAGCAUCUAAGCACGAAACUUGCCCCGAGAUGAGUUCUCCCUGACUCCUUGAGAGUCCUGAAGGAACGUUGAAGACGACGACGUUGAUAGGCCGGGUGUGUAAGCGCAGCGAUGCGUUGAGCUAACCGGUACUAAUGAACCGUGAGGCUUAACCUUACAACGCCGAAG